Molecule: long non-coding RNA, 656 nt
Organism: Girardinichthys multiradiatus
Lineage: Eukaryota; Metazoa; Chordata; Actinopteri; Cyprinodontiformes; Goodeidae
Exons: 3
Source: RefSeq, a predicted model, not a curated record
AAGUGCAAUGGCACUGCAAAAAAAGGUCACCAAAGAAUCAAUCCAUGAAGAGUGAAUCAUUCAAAUCCCCAAAACAUUCUGUUUUACCAUACUUUUCUCUCCCUUUUCGUUGCCAUCUGUGAUCCCAGGCUCCUGUUUGUUGAUGGUGUGCAGAGCUGCGAGGCAGUUUGUCCCUUCCUUGUUCCACGGUCAACCUCGGCAGCCUCUCCUCCCCGGCUUCGCUCCUUCCUCCUGAAAAUAAAGGGACUCAUUUGGUCAAACCCUCCAAACCUACCAACCAACCACGCCAGUCCAUCAGAAACUCAAACACCCGGAUCAACUCCCCCUUCAACACUCUCCUCAAGACCCCAAGCAAGUCUCCACGAUCUGUCCUUGCAAAAAUAAACUACAUUCCCUCAGCAUGAUACUGCUACCACCAUGCUUCACUGUGGGAAUGUUUGUUCAGGGUUAUGUGCGGUGUUAGUUUUCCACAAAACAUCAAGUUUUUUCAUGCAAUCACUUGUUUUGGUACAUCAUAUAAAUCCCUAUAGAUUUCAUUAUCGUCUGUGGAUAUAAUAACCCCUUCUAAAAAUGUAAGGGGUAUUGCGAAACCUUAACUUAAUCCUUACAUUUGUCCUGAAUUCCCAAAAGCACACUCUGAUGCAAAAAUAAAUGGU